Molecule: long non-coding RNA, 709 nt
Organism: Oncorhynchus tshawytscha (Chinook salmon)
Lineage: Eukaryota; Metazoa; Chordata; Actinopteri; Salmoniformes; Salmonidae
Source: Ensembl
AAAACGAGAACACGCCAGUUAUGUACAAGUGACAAGAUUAUCCUGACUUUCGCUAGCUACUUUCUUUUAUUGUUUUGUAGAAUCUAAAGUGGUAAAAUGUAAUGUGAACAAGUAUUAUUACUAAAAAGAAGCUUUCAUCUCACAACCGAAGGCCCGAGUCAUUACUUUGAAGAGAGAACUUCAAAAUGAGAUCCUGCCAUGGAAAAGACGACGGACAUGAAGUGGAAAGGAGGGGAAAUAACUCACACCAUGCAGCAGGACACCUUCAGCUGUGUGGUUUUUGUAAUGCAGAUGGCCAAGGAAGUUGCACAGAACUUCCCCAACAUCCCCUCCCAAAUUGAUAUGGAACCUUCAAAAACACAUGGAGCAAAGUUCAACAAAGCCAACAACUGCUUCAUGUGUGCCACUGAUAAAGAACCUGGAUGUAGCACAAAGACUGCCUGGAUUGAAUGUUUUGCAGGCCAAAGGUGGUUCCAUGUGCUGUAACUAGGAAUGAAGACAAAAUAGUUAAACAGAGCAAACAACACAAACUGGAAGUGCUGUCUUUGUUGUUGAAAAUGUAUGCUAUACCCCAUCCACACUGAAGAGGCUCUGACAUGUACAUCAACCAGGGAUAAAGAGAAAGUUAACACUGUGAAAUGUUUCAUACUUAUUUUUAAUUGUAUGUUGACACGUUGGAAAAGAUUAAAGGUGUACAAUUUCUGUUUAA